RNAcentral lists this long non-coding RNA (4239 nucleotides) under Varroa destructor (honeybee mite). RNAcentral describes it as "uncharacterized LOC111250354, transcript variant X2". Lineage: Eukaryota; Metazoa; Arthropoda; Arachnida; Mesostigmata; Varroidae. The record is from RNAcentral.
ACAGUCUGUUGUUUUACUGCAUCAGCAGUCAGAAGCAUGAGGAUGGCAAUGUGCUAGAUAGGGAGCUCUUUUUAGACGACGUUACCUAUCGUGUUUUUGCUAACGGUAAGAGUGGCCUCGGCAGCGGCAGCCAGGUUUCGGAUUUCUCCGUUCGUUUGCCCCGGUCGUUCCUCUUCCUGCUUGUCAGGCCCUUGGCCUAUCCGUUCAGUUCAAAGCUAAGAACCAUCAAGCCAAAGAACCCUGAGUGGCGCUGUUUUUUUUUUUUAAACAGAGAAGAAGUCGGUGAGUAACAAUUCAGUACGAAGCAUCUACAAGUAGCUAUUACGACGCAUUGAGUGUUUGGCGAAAAGCCCGAGGACGCGAGUAUAACUAAUUUAGUUGCUGGUCAAGCCAGGUUAUGUUGGAUAGUUUGCUGGUCGUCUGCCUGUGAUGUCCUCGUUCUCUCCCAUUUUCGUCUACAAUUUGCUUCCGCAGUUCGAAUAUCAAAGAGUAAUAAUAGCAGUUGGAAGAGAAAACAGGCAAGGAAUGAAAACGAAAAAGAUACUUACUGAACAGCGUGAACAUUGCGCUCGGCCACGGACCAUUUUGAUACGAAAUAGGAAAAGGCACAGAUGAAGAUGACAGAGAACGACGGAGUGGCACCUAGAUACAGCUCAAGCAAAACCUUCAAAUCAUCCUGAAUCUAGAUAUCUCGCUUUGUGUGGAUCAUUGCCACCGCCUUCUGUCGUAAUUGCCUGCCCCUUACAGGGCUAAUGUCGAGGAGAAAAGUGGUUUAGACUGGUAGCAAAGCUGCUACAAGGAUGCUGAAAAGCUACUCAGAGAAAGCAAUUGAUAUAUUUCGUUAGUUUACUUUCAGAUCUGGCCAUACAUCCAUUGUGUGCCCAUUCAAAACGUAAUGCGGUCCGUUUAUUAAAAUUAAGCACUUUUGUUCAAUACGCAACUGAUAAUGUAAAAUAUAAUGCGAUCCUAAUAUUUUCUGAGCUAUUACGAGAAUUACUGCUUUGUCUAAUUCAUUUUUGACAAUCGUUUUAAUAAUACGGAUAUAGUUUUCAUCAGAAUAAUUUGUGUUUAAUGAUUUGAUUACGGGUAUAGGGUGUGCCCACUUCCGGACAAAACAAAAGGCUAUUGAGUCGCCUGCUUAGAUUGAGCCUUAUAGGAACAAUUCUUGACCGCGCUAACUGGACAUUCCGGAUAGGUGCCCCGCUAAUGUAGUCAGAGGAACUAUACUGAUAAUUAUUGUAUACAUGUAGCAAUUUACGUAUUCGAUUUUCCAGUAAUUGAUCUACUUCUCUAUCAUUUUUGGCUGACUGAUACUGGCAAUGAGACUUCGUACGACAAGUGCUGCAGGUUUAGUAAGAAAAUAUUUGUACUAUGUAAAUGAUCCUACAUAACCGGUGGAUCUCGCUUGCCUACUCUAUAUAAUAGCCUCUUGUCGUAGCUUUUCGUCUCAGACUCACUUGAUAAUGCCAUGAACAUAUCAGACAGGUUUAAACAACUGAUGUACGUUUGCAUGCACACAGAGUUAAGGCAUUGCCAGUACGGAAGUACUGGCAAUGCCUUAACAUUGUGCAAUAUGGACCAAGUCGUAUAACGUUGCCACUUCCUCUCAGUAAUACUUCCACUUCUUUCUUAAUUUAGCUCCUAGUUCCUUUAGAAAAGUGUCAGCGACGACUGGUAGCACCGAAAUUUUCACUCCAGCCAGCUAGACACGUUUUCGCAAGAGUGGCGGAAAGAUUGUCACAUAUAAGACGGACACCAGUUUCCUUGGCACCUAUGGAGACUGCCCUAUCUCAGUAAAAACAUUAAAUGAGCCUUAGGUUGAGGUCUGCGGGUCAUGAAAGAGAAAAGGAGAACAAAGGACGAUCAAACCACAAUAUGAUCAUACUGCGAAGGCUCUGCGCGGAGGUAGGAGCGGACAGUUCGCGACGCUGUGUUGCCCUCAAAACGAGGCAGAGAGCACGUCCUAUUAAAAGUAAGCCCGCUCCAGCCUUCUAAGCCGACCAUCUUCACUGCAAUGACCCUUUGAGCGUUUUACUUCUCUAUAUACGUAAACAGAGAGACAGCUUCGUUCUCAAGCUCUGACUACCCUGAACCGCUAUAUUGAUCCCACCACUUAACUCCGAACGCAGUUAAAGCGAGAUUUGCUUUUUAGAAUCUGCUGGUGCUGCUGCCAUGAAGUGGCCAAACAAGGACACUGACAAGAGUCUUCUACAACGAACGCCUUCGAUAUAAACGCAUACAUUUCGAAAGAGCGACUGGAAUCACAUUUGAAGGAGUCGGAGAAGAAGGCCUUUUCCAAGUAAUAUUGGUAGGCAUAAUCGGCUCAUUUCCAUAGCUGCGCUCGCUUAGAGAAGGACAAACGCGUUUUAGCUUCCUUGUCAUAGUCGAGAUGCAGGACGAUGUUACGCAGUCGACCGAACAGUAAAUGCUAUGAUUUGGUCCUAUUCGUUUGCAAAACUUUCAUUGGAGAAAGAACAGCGUACCUGUAAUCUAAACAGAUUGUACAGGUGAUGGCAUUUUAAGUAUACCAAUAAUGAAGCACACUAUAAUUAUCAGGUUGUCUGAAAAGUUCCUGUUUACUUUGUUUUUACUUACUGUUCACUUCCUGUUUUACUUUGUUUUUUUUUCAAUGUUCUGAAAGAAGAACCGUUUUUUGCUGUUUAAACCUAUUCAAAUCACAAAAGAUUGACUUUGCCUUUUCGUUCGAAUAUGGAUACGUUAGGUGAUAGAAACAGCCUUUUAAACAUUCACUAUUCAUCUUAAGCCAACGAGAGCAGCUACUAAAACACAUACGUGUUACAUGUAUGACCAAGCCUUAUAUCUAUCCCUCUGAUAGAUCUGAUCUAUAAAUAUCACCUCUGAAUAUCUGAAACAUAUACUCCAUUCGACUUUUCGAAUCCGGCGAAGGUUAUCUUGAGCACCUUUUGAAACAGAACCUAGACAAACCCCUUCCCAUGUACAGAACAAAUAUCUCGGAUUGUAAAUAGCAAAUAAAGCAUUUAUCAGAAAUUUGUUUUUUUCUCUCUAUACUCGAUGUAUACAAAGCGAGAAAAAUACUUUUCGACAAAUACAACAAAAAACGACAACAAAUCUUGAACAACACAGAAAGAGCGGUUUUCGUAGCGGUCUGUUUUGCCUUGCACUUAAUAAACAAAAAAGAAAAAGGCAUAAGAACAGCAAACUAGGACCGCCACUUCGAAAAAACUAGUAUACUAAGUUAGGUUGUUUAUUCAUGUGAACGUAAUUACAGAUUUUCUUAGGCAUUUUUGUUUUCACUUUAAAAGGGUAAAUAGAACUCAACGAAAGGUCACAGAGAUGAUAUAUUAUAUUUUCAUUAACUGUAUUAGAACAUUAGGUCGUAUACUAGGUUUUGGAGAAAUUGCGACCCGGUGUCGCUGUUGGCGAUCGGUACGUUCGCAUCGUUCCACGAUAUUGUGCGUAAGUAUAAAAAAUUGCUCUACUCUUAGCGUCAAAGACGAUUGCCAAGCGUCUUUAAGAUUUAUCAUGAUCAUCCGAAAAAUGAAUAGGUGAAAAGCUUAGCUGAUUUGAUAUACUCCAGCACUCUGUCAUCCGUCCUUUCUUAUACGGUAAAUAGUCGUCUAAGUGCGAUACCUUAUUCGAUAUUAGGAUGUUCCUAUAUAUGCACACGGAUAAAAUUUGAGACUAUUCUAUUAUCGAACUAUACGCUCAUCUACCUAAACCUGUUUUUGUUGUUUUCGAGUUCGACAGGUCGAACGAUGCUACACGUCGCAGGGACAGGGCAAAUCCCUUCCUCUUUUGAAUGUUCUAUUCGUUUUGAUUCUUUCAGGAUGCUUGUGGUGGCUGAUACAGACUUCAUUCGACGCCUACCAUCCUUGGAGAUGUCAAGCUGUGCGAGCCACCGCUCGCAGUACACCGUUACUGCUAGCGCGACCGCGGUCAUCGCCGCCAUCGGCGUCCGGCCGCCCGAGGCCAUGCCCUUACUCAACCUUAGUCGGGCGGCGACUAACGCGCUUUGUGUCCUUGAGUCACUAAUAGCCAUACGCCAAUACUACUGAGAGAUUCGUAUGUUAUGGAGCCACUAAAUUGCGAGGCUCGACAGGCUUGGCAGUGUCGAUCUUUUCUGAUUCUUCACAAAGCGGGGACUGUUUUACGCCCGAUUAUUCCACCCAUCAACUUGAUACGAAUGGGUGUACUUUUACCCAAUCAGUAACAUGUUCACAAUGUCGCCAAUUACUUACAAAGAUAUUUGUACGUCUG